UGAUAAAUAGAUGUGAUUGGUUGCC
RNAcentral lists this non-coding RNA (25 nucleotides) under Mus musculus (house mouse). RNAcentral also lists the same sequence under 1 other name. The record is from RNAcentral. Lineage: Eukaryota; Metazoa; Chordata; Mammalia; Rodentia; Muridae.